This 1679-nucleotide long non-coding RNA is filed under the name Strigops habroptila (Kakapo). RNAcentral describes it as "lncRNA (ENSSHBG00005004566.1)". The record is from RNAcentral. Lineage: Eukaryota; Metazoa; Chordata; Aves; Psittaciformes; Psittacidae.
CUAAUAAGUCUUUAUUUCCAAACAGAAACUGCAAAAAUAUUCUAUUACAGAACAAGUAACAAGUGCAGAAUUCUGAGUACGCAUUUUAACAGUGAAACCACUGCCUCCUUGACAAAAAAAUCAUUAGGCACUUAAAACAUGAAAACAAAGUACAAAUUAAAUCAGCCGUAACAGAUGACUCAACAAUACAAAUUCAUCUUGAUUUUCUGUAAUAAAGCACACACACGCUUGAGGAGCUUUCUGUGCCUCCUCCUAAAUCCUGCACAGAGACACUUCUAUGUUAUACUGCACACAUUCUACUCAAACAAUAUCAAGUUCACAUCUGAAAACAUAAAUAAGUUCAGCGUUGAGAGAAUCUGAGAGAACCUUUUUGGGAACAGCAGUAGCAGAGCCUACACUAGCAGCUUCACACAGAGCCUGGCGCAUGUGGAGGAGCACAAUUAUACCAGCUCCAAGGGGGGAUAAGCUCUGCUUCUACGAUUGCAUUGAAAAGAAUGGAACCAAGAUUAAUGCACACAUUUUAAGAGACAAUGAAACCUCUGGGAAAAAGCUAUCACGGAAACUUUAUUGAAUUACCUUUUUGACACGUGAAACAGUCUCUGAAAUAAAACCAUGCAUUUGCCAUCCCUUAGGAGCAGCCCUGUGUAGGACCUCUCCAUUCUCCCACCUUCUCACUUGAAGAUCUUGAACUAAAUCAGAAGCAGAGGUGGCCUCUCAGACCCACCUUAGAAAGGUUCAUCUAAGAAUCAAGUGUCCAAAUGACUAACGAAAGUACCCAUCAAGAAAUCAGUGAGAUGAUACCCUUAAAAAUGAUUUUGGAUUGUAUCACUGUUUUUUUAGGUGACAUUAUGUAACUUCCCCCACAGUUAACUCUGGUAGCAUAAAAUAUGAAUAUUUUAAAUAAUUUUAAUAAGAAUCUCAAAGAAAAAAUAUUAAGACUAUCAACAUAAAGAAUAUAUAUGAAGCUACUAUAUAAAAUGUGCAUAUAAAACAUGCGGAAAUGUCAGCUGCUAAACUUCUGUUUCACAAGAAUUGCAGAAUGGGUUUGUACCAUAAGCACUAACAAUAAAUACACCAAGGAGGUGUCCUUAGGGACUCAGCUCACAGUCAAGCCAAGAGCUAAAAAGCCCAGCAGGUUGUUGAACUACAGACUUGCUGUGAAGAAUCUCCUCUUGUCAGGGACUAAAGUGGAUAGUGAGGAAUUUAAAACCAGCAAUAUUGUCUUAGACUAGACUACCCUGUCACAACCAUUAGCAGGAUUCAUUCUAAUGGCAUCUUGCUAUAAUACCAUGAAUUCAUGGUGGAAUCAUUAAAUACUUCCACCAUGCAAUUGAGUUUUCUCCCUCACUGGAGAAAAGAGGGAUAAAAAAAAAGACAAGGCACAGCAGUACUAGGUGCAGCAACAAACACCGAUGUAUUGCUGAAGCUUUGUCAGGUUAGCAAAAGACAGAUUUGACUGUUUACUUGAUGACAUGAGGAUGUCACUGCUUCUUGUAUUUAACAGGUAGGCUGUUUUCAUCCUUAAACCAGUAUUUGCCAACACCCACCACCAAAGGUCAGCUACUGCUCACACACAGAGGAACGUGAGUUCAGCCAAUUAUACAUCACAGUAUGAAGUCUACUCCUUGGUCUACAGCAAACCCAAGCUGAUGUACUCCCAUCGUGUUAAGCUCUUGUCA